UAAGAUUUGAUUUUCCAAAAUCAAGAUCUGAAGAGAUGGGAAAAGUUGGGAAAAAAAAAAGAGAUGGGAAAAGAAAUACCUUCAAUUCCGCUGCUAUGUAGUAACAGAGACAUGAUCAUGUUGUACUGGGAAAGAACAGAGACAUGGAACAAGUUUUGUUAAUUAACCUAAUUAUGCUAUUUAUAAAUGUUUUCUUUCUCGUAGAAAAGAGGGAUAAUAUCUAAAUUAAUUAUUAGCAUAUUAUUUUUGAAUCCUAAAACUUGAUCAUGAAGGAUCUGACCUUGGGAUCGGUACCCAUGUCGGACACCCGCACCCGAGUCCGAGUAACUUAGAUUGCUACUCUUUUUUUUUUUUUUUUUUUUCCAAAAUUUCAUUGUCAAAUUCAUCUUUGAGGGAAACUGAUGCGUUAAUUCUUAAUUGUACCAGCUUUUAAUGGAUUAUAAAUACAAGCGGUUUUAAUCUUUCAAGCAGAAGCUUCAGUUAGAACUUUUCGACAAGGAGAAGAAUAAUAUUGGACAGAGGUGUAUUGAAAGAGCUCAACCUGGGUGAUUUUAUGAAGAAAGAUGAUAAAAUGGAGCACCUAACAAUGCAUUUUCACAGAACAAAAACUACGAGAUCGAGGGUCAGUUAUUCAGGGAUUUCACAGAGAACUUGGUAAAUGCAUGUCUCCAUCCAUGUUUGGUAGAGGUAUUCAGGUAUUUUAUAUCGCUAUUAGGGCCUGGUUUAUUUCAUCAUAUUCCCUCUUUAAGACUCAAGAUGCUUUAAUUGCGUGCAAAUGAUCUCACAUGUAUAAUGGUAUACAUAUUUUCUGGGAGGGAUGACUUAUUGAUGAGUGGGAUGGAAAAUUUGCAGGUAAAAGAAGACCGGACAACUAGCUUCUUUUUGACUUCUACUUGCAUGCUUCAAUGGGCACUACAUGGAAGAUAGAACAAAAUUAAAGCAACUAGACAACUACUACAGGCUCACUUAUGUCAGCAAAUUAGAUGGACCAUAUAUGCUAAACAAAUAAUGUAGAGUAAACCCUUUGUCUUUCUCCGGUAUGUAUAAUGAGAUAAUUAGUAAUUUGUUGUUUUACAUCACAAACUACCUUUUCACUGGUUAAAGGGCAUUUAAUAGUGUAAUCUUUCUGUCCUCUUAAGGAGCUUCUCUCUUCUGCUCUGCUUCACUGAAUCUUUCUACACCCCUUUGUUUGGUGGCUUUACAAGUCAAUUUUUCCUUUGGUACUCUUAGCUUGUAAUUGAUUCUACCCACCGUAAUUUAUUCUCAAAAUACAUAAGUUUUUUAUGUUAUAUUGUUUUAGCUUUGUUCGCGAAGUCAUAAGUUCGAUAGUGUAUAGAAAGGGGCGAAUAGAGAGGAUUUCUCUCAACAAUGACAUUGGUACUCUUGCAAGAAAAGAAAAAAAGUGCAAGGAAAAAGGAGAGUUGCAAUAUUAGAGAUAAGUGAUAUGUUUUUUGUCUACCAAAUCAUCUGUCGAGCAGAUAAUAAUGGUGAGUUUAAGAAUAUAUGUAUAUCAUGUUUAAGAAUAUAUGUAUAUCAUGUCUCUUAUCAUUUUGAAAUAUGAACAGUUGAUUGAGAUUUUGGGAAUCUUAUGGCCUUUUGAUAAAUAUUAUAUGGAGAUAAAAGUGCAGUAGUAGCAUCAAUGUACAAUGUAGAACCAAACAAACAUGAAACAUUAACUAGCAAAUUUCAGGAGGGUAUAUUAUCCACCGGGCCUUAAAUAGUGUGCUCUCUCUAAAUCCUUUCAGGGUACAUGUUCUAAUCAAUUGCUAAGCAUUCCCCUUCAAAAAUAAUUUCUAGCUCAACUUUUUUAUAUUCUUAGUUUUCGUCAAAGCUUAUAUGUGCCUCCUCUACUGUAGUGUUGCUUUUCAGAUGAAUUACUUGAAGCUUCUUUUGCUUACUUUGCUUACUCAUAAGUAAUUCAUCGAUUUUUCAUAAAAGAGAAAUCAUAUAAAAUGUCAUAAGGAACUGAGUCCCCCCGUCUUCCUCUUAGUGGGACAAGGUCCUAAGCAAACAUUUGAACUUGAAGAUUUAACGCAAUAUGAUGUGCAUUUCUUUAUUUCAAUUAUAGCUUCUUGUUUCACUAAUUGCCAGUAUGAUGCAUGAGCCACAUGAAAGAUUUAGAGCUAUGCCAACUUGCACCCAUUAGGUUUCUUCUAUCAACUUAUAGUUCGAAUAUCUAUUUAUUUUAUGGUAGCAUAGUAGUGUUUCUCUUUACCUUAACAUGCCUAACACAUUACUGAUUUAGGUAUGCUACCGAAAUCUUGCUUCACAUUGUGUCUUAUUUCUUACUUUUACAGAG
This is a long non-coding RNA of Lycium barbarum (goji berry), 2299 nucleotides long. RefSeq lists it as uncharacterized. The record is from RefSeq and is a predicted model, not a curated record. NCBI's taxonomy places the organism in Eukaryota, Viridiplantae, Streptophyta, Magnoliopsida, Solanales, Solanaceae. The transcript has 5 exons.